RNAcentral lists this transfer RNA (76 nucleotides) under Aeromicrobium sp. IC_218. RNAcentral's name for it is "tRNA-Ala". It matches the Rfam family "tRNA". From Rfam's summary of the family: Transfer RNA (tRNA) molecules are approximately 80 nucleotides in length. Their secondary structure includes four short double-helical elements and three loops (D, anti-codon, and T loops). Further hydrogen bonds mediate the characteristic L-shaped molecular structure. tRNAs have two regions of fundamental functional importance: the anti-codon, which is responsible for specific mRNA codon recognition, and the 3' end, to which the tRNAs corresponding amino acid is attached (by aminoacyl-tRNA synthetases). tRNAs cope with the degeneracy of the genetic code in two manners: having more than one tRNA (with a specific anti-codon) for a particular amino acid; and 'wobble' base-pairing, i.e. permitting non-standard base-pairing at the 3rd anti-codon position. The record is from RNAcentral. Lineage: Bacteria; Bacillati; Actinomycetota; Actinomycetes; Propionibacteriales; Nocardioidaceae.
GGGGCCGUGGCGCAAUUGGUAGCGUACCUGCCUUGCAUGCAGGGGGUUAGGGGUUCGAGUCCCCUCGGCUCCACCC